UUAAGCGACUAAGCGUACACGGUGGAUGCCCGCAGUCAGAGGCGAUGAAGGACGUGCUAAUCUGCGAAAAGCGUCGGUAGGGUGAUAUGAACCGUUAUAACCGGCGAUGUCCGAAUGGGGAAACCCAGUGCGUUGCACUAUCGUUAACUGAAUACAUAGGUUAACGAGGCGAACCGGGAACUGAAACAUCUAAGUCCCGAGAGAAAUCAACCGAGAUUCCCCAGUAGCGGCGAAGCGAACGGGGAGCAGCCCAGAGUCUGAAUCAUUGUGUGUUAGUGGAACGGUCUGGAAAGUCCGACGGUACAGGGUGAUAGUCCCGUACACCAAAAUGCACAGGUUGUGAACUCGAAGAGUAGGGCGGACACGUGGUAUCCUGUCUGAAAGGACCAUCUCCAGGCUAAAUACCCUGACUGACCGAUAGUGAACCAGUACCGUGAGGGAAAGGCGAAAAGAACCCCGGCGAGAGAAAAGUAACCUGAAACCGUGUACGCGCAGUGGGAGCACCUUCGGUGUGACUGCGUACCUUUUGUAUAAUGGGUCAGCGACUUAUAUUCUGUAGCAAGGUUAACCGUAUAGGGAGCCGCAGGAAACCGAGUCUAACUGGGCGUUGUUGCAGGGUAUAGACCCGAAACCCGGUGAUUCAGCCAUGGGCAGGUAGUUAGGUUGGUAACACUAACUGGAGGACCGAACCGACUAAUGUUGAAAAUUAGCGGAUGACUUGUGGCUGGGGUGAAAGGCCACCAAACCGGGAGAUAGCUGGUUCUCCCGAAAGCUAGGUAGCGCCUCGUGAAUUCAUCUUCGGGGUAGAGCACUGUUUCGGCUAGGGGGUCAUCCCGACUUACCAACCCGAUGCAAACUACGAAUACCGAAGAAUGUUAUCACGGAGACACACGGCAGUAACGCCCGUCGAAGAAGAGGAAACAACCCAGACCGCCAGCUAAGGUCCCAAAGUCAUGGUUAAGGGAAACGAUGGGAAGGCACAGACAGCCGAGAGCUUAGAAGCAGCCAUCAUUUAAAGAAAGCGUACAGCUCACUGGUCGAGUCGGCCUGCGCGGAAGAUGUAACCAAACCAUGCACCGAAGCUGCGGCAGCGACACUAUGUGCGUUACGGGGAGCGUUGUAAGCCUGCGAAGGUGACCCGUGAGGGUUGCUGGAGGUAUCAGAAGUGCGAAUGCCGACAUAAGUAACGAUGCUGGUGAAAAGCCCGCUCGCCGGAAGACCGGUUCCUGUCCAACGUUAAUCGGGCAGGUGAGUCGACCCUGGCGAGGCCGAAAGGCGUAGUCGAUGGGAAACAGGUUAAUAUUCCUGUACUGACAUAAGUAACGAUGGGUGAAAAGCCCGCUCGCCGGAAGACCAAGGGUUCCUGUCCAACGUUAAUCGGGGCAGGUGAGUCGACCCUGAAGGCGAGGCCGAAAGGCGUACGAUGGGAAACAGGUUAAUAUUCCUGUACUGGGAAACAGGUUAAUAUUCCUGUACUUGGUGUUACUGCGAAGGGGGACGGAGAAGGCUAUGUUAGCCGGGCGACGGUUGUCCCGGUUUAAGCAUGUAGGCUGGUUAUUGUGCAAAUCCGGAUAAUCAAGGCUGAGGUGUGAUGACGAGGCACUACGGUGCUGAAGUAACAAAUGCCCUGCUUCCGGGAAAAGCCUCUAAGCAUCAGGUAACAUCAAAUCGUACCCAAACCGACACAGGUGGUCAGGUAGAGAAUACCAAGGCGCUUGAGAGAACUCGGGUGAAGGAACUAGGCAAAUGGUGCCGUAACUUCGGAGAAGGCACGCUGGUGUGUAGGUGAAGUCCCUGCGGAUGGAGCUGAGACCAGUCGAAGAUACCAGCUGGCUGCAACUGUUUAUUAAAACACAGCACUGUGCAAACACGAAAGUGGACGUAUACGGUGUGACGCCUGCCCGGUGCCGGAAGGUUAAUUGAUAUCGGGAGAAGCUCUUGAUCGAAGCCCCGGUAAACGGCCGUAACUAUAACGGUCCUAAGGUAGCGAAAUUCCUUGUCGGGUAAGUUCCGACCUGCACGAAUGGCGUAAUGAUGGCCGCUGUUCCACCCGAGACUCAGUGAAAUUGAACUCGCUGUGAAGAUGCAGUGUACCCGCGGCAAGACGGAAAGACCCCGUGAACCUUUACUAUAGCUUGACACUGAACAUUGAGCCUUGAUGUGUAGGAUAGGGGAGGCUUUGAAGCGUGGACGCCAGUCUGCGUGGAGCCAACCUUGAAAUACCACCCUUUAAUGUUUGAUGUUCUAACGUUGGCCCUUACCGGGGUUGCGGACAGUGUCUGGGGUAGUUUGACUGGGGCGGUCUCCUCAAAGCGUAACGGAGGAGCACGAAGGUUAGCUAAUCCGGUCGGACAUCAGGAGGUUAGUGCAAUGGCAUAAGCAGCUUGACUGCGAGCGUGACGGCGCGAGCAGGUGCGAAAGCAGGUCAUAGUGAUCCGGUGGUUCUGAAUGGAAGGGCCAUCGCUCAACGGAUAAAGGUACUCCGGGAUAACAGGCGAUACCGCCCAAGAGUUCAUAUCGACGGCGGUGUUUGCACCUCGAUGUCGGCUCAUCACAUCCUGGGCUGAAGUAGGUCCAAGGGUAUGGCUGUUCGCCAUUUAAAGUGGUACGCGAGCGUCGGCUCAUCACAUCCUGGGCUGAAGUAGGUCCAAGGGUAUGGCUGUUCGCCAUUUAAAGUGGUACGCGAGCUGUUCGCCAUUUAAAGUGGUACGCGAGCUGGGUUUAGAACGUCGUGAGACAGUUCGGUCCCUAUCUGCCGUGGGCGCUGGAGAAUUGAGGGGCUGCUCCUAGUACGAGAGGACCGGAGUGGACGCAUCACUGGUGUUCGUUGUCAUGCCAAUGGCACUGCCCGGUAAGCAUCUAAGCACGAAACUUGCCCCGAGAUGAGUUCUCCUGAGACUUUAAGUCUCCUGAAGGAACGUUGAAGACGACGACGUUGAUAGGCCGGUGUGUAAGCGCAGCGAUGCGUUGAGCUAACCGGUACUAAUGAACCGUGAGGCUUAACCUU
This 3007-nucleotide ribosomal RNA is filed under the name Klebsiella pneumoniae. Its description in RNAcentral is "bacterial LSU rRNA". It matches the Rfam family "Bacterial large subunit ribosomal RNA". Lineage: Bacteria; Pseudomonadati; Pseudomonadota; Gammaproteobacteria; Enterobacterales; Enterobacteriaceae. The record is from RNAcentral.